Long non-coding RNA from Neopsephotus bourkii (Bourke's parrot), 2924 nucleotides. RefSeq lists it as uncharacterized. The record is from RefSeq and is a predicted model, not a curated record. The transcript has 2 exons. NCBI's taxonomy places the organism in Eukaryota, Metazoa, Chordata, Aves, Psittaciformes, Psittacidae.
AGUGGUGAAUGGUGGUGGGAAGAAGAGCUGGAGUUGAAGUCAGCGAUCCAAGGUGCUUGGGAAGAUUAAGCAGGUGUAGCACAAUCCAGAAGAAAAGAAAUAAGAAAGAGGGAGAUGGGAAGGAGAAUAUAGAGACAGAACUGGGAAUAACAGGUAUUACUGCUUGAGAAGCAGUGUCAGACAAUGCUGGAAAACAGAGGAUAAAGCACAAAGAAGGCGUUGGUCCUUUGGCUGGACUUCAGUAUCUCCCUAGGACAUCAGGAGAACAAAGUGUUGAGAUUAACAAGAAAUCUGUGAAAGCAAAAGCAAACACUCAGGGUGUGUUUAUUAAAGCAACUUAAAGAGCAGUGUAACUUAUCCCUGAUGGCAGAACAGCAUGGGGGAUGCAGCAUCUCUGCCCUCCAGCACACCAGCCCUGCAGGGCCAGAGGCAGAACAGCUCCUGGGUGACAGUCCCAUCAUGUGCUAUUACAAACAGCCCCAUGAUCUGGUUCAAAAACUGCCAAACUCUGUCAGAAGAAUAGUUUGGUUGGUCCCCCUCAAUGCACAGCAGCUAUUAGGCAGCCUUAGGACAUUCCUAUUUGGGUGGUUAGAAAUCUUCUGGACUAAUUCUUUUCUGGGCCAAUUUAUACCACUUGUUUUUUCACCAGAACUGGCUUUUCACUUACAUAGUUCUCCCCAGUGUUUCCCUCCCUGCUGUAUUUGUAGAAAGCAGUCAUGUUCCGUUGCAGCCACUCUUCUGCCAGGCUAAACAAGACUCGUUAUGAAACAGGACAUUAUAAAAUAGGUUCUCCAUUCCUGUGGUCCUUCAGAAAGUCCUUCCUUUCACCUAGUCCACACUGAAUUUGCCUUUUCUGAACUCAAUCAGUUAGAUGUGAUCACAGAUUUCCAGAGGGGAUUGAUGGGUGGCAGCAUUUGCUUGGGACCGUAGCUGCACACUACAGGCCUCUGAGACCCACUUUCAGCUUUGCCAGUUAUUACACUCUUACAGCAUCCAUAGUUUCUAUCAGUCACGGUUCCUACAUCCCAUUCCUGCUCCUCCCAAUGGAGUACUUGAUGGAAUGUGGGUUUUCAGACUUAGCCGUUGCCCCCAACAUAGGUAGGACCCUACAGAUCUUCUGGCUGGUGAUAGCUUGCCUUUAGGAAGGCCCUAAUUUCCACUCAUUCUUACUUCUAGAAAUGUGGAAACCCUUUGCACAAGACAGGUUGGAUUCAUACCUGCAUUUAAAAUGGCAGCUCUCAGCUCCUGACUACUUUUGGAUUUGCCACCUGUGUCCAAACACAAUGUUUGGAGUCCAACAAAGGGACAGAAGAUGUGUUGCACACUGAGCAGCACUUUUGGGCUCUGUAAGAGAUCCCAAGCACACCAUCCCUCCAGCAAUGGUAUGAACAUAGCGCUAGUUUCUCAGCCAUACCUUUGCAAGGAGCAUUUACUGCUAUGCUUCCCUUGGAAAGACAGAAGCGGGGUGGUUUUUUUCCUUAAAAAUCAGAACAAAACAAUUUAUAUGUUCAAAAUAAAGAAGGUGUGAUCUAUCCUUAUGACCCUUAUUGCAGUUUGUCUUCAAGAGGACUUAAUCUUCAACCUGCAUAUUCCAGGCAUGGGAGCACUCUUGCAGUGACUGCAAAUGUUCUUCCUGACUUAUAUUACUUUCCUUACUUAUAAAAACUAGUUCACCACAUUUUUGUUUCACCGCUGUUGUACUCACAGAGUCAUUGAAGAGACUUCUGGAGGUCUGUGGUCCAACCACUCGUUCAAAGCAGGGCUCCCUCUAAGUAGCAGUUGGUGGGCUCAGCCAUGGCUUUAUCCUACGAAGCUAUGAAAACCCUUAAGGACAGAGAGUCCACUGCCCCCUGUCUGGCUAAGGGGCUCAGCUUGGUCACAUAGAGGAAGCCCUGAAACCCCAUGGCCAGCGCUUGGGCAUGGCCAAACCCUGCCAAAAUCAACACCUUGAGCAGUUCAGUCCAUCAGCUCAUCCAUGAGGCUGCUCAGGCAAGAUCUGCCCUUGAGAAGCUUUCAUUGCCUGUUUCACAAAGGGAGAACAUACAGACGGACACUUACUUAGAGUGUCUUCAACACUGAAGUCUCUCACCCAGAACAUCCAAUUUUAUCUAUUUAAAAAACAGAUCAUUCUAAUUUGUCUUCUAAUAAAAACAAACCCUUCAAAGUCAACUCUCUUCUGGUUUGAUGUGCUAGCUUUGGGAACAGUUUGCAAGUGGAUCUUCAGUAAGGCUUUGGCUCUGCUUUGGUCUCAUCACAGACCAUCAAACCUGCCCUUGUCACACCUCUGCUCUCCUGCUACACCUAUCAGAAGGAUUUGGCUGGAGAUCAUUAUAGUCUCUGCUCACUUCUGAGACCCCUCCACGGAGUCAUCUGUCUCACUGAAAAUGAAAAGAAAAGGUGUUUUUUGUCUGGUCUUAGUCCAUAAUUAGAUUAUCUUUAGCAAUUACUCCACUCUGGUGAACAGAUAUACUUUUACCCUGUUCUCUUCUUAAUUGUGAUAGAAAUCUUUUACUGUGAUACGUCUUUUGCCUUGCUGUGUUAACUUUUCUCCCUAAUGUCUCGCUAGAUCAGAACAACAUCUGUGUACACCAUGGAGGCCAUGGUUGCCAUCACUUUUUUAUGAAUGGACCUCUACCAACCUUCAGCAUUCUGCGCAGAACACCAUGUACAGGCAAGGUUGGAAGUCCACAGUUAUUCCUCCACUUGAGGAAAACAAUCCAGUAACUUUGGGAAGAGGGAGAUGGAAGCAUCUGGGAAAAGAGGCCAGAACAUUUGGACCAUAAGUGGCUUGGGCAUGUGGGAAUCUAUUGCUUCUUCUAAUGAACUAAUUGGAGCUUGUUCAGAAGCUUAGGUUUCUAAGAGACUGUUUUCCCUGUAGCUGUAAUCCCAGAGGCAGAGAACAAAGAGUUAAAUUCAUUAACCUU